RNAcentral lists this small RNA (228 nucleotides) under Nannospalax galili (Upper Galilee mountains blind mole rat). RNAcentral describes it as "7SK RNA (ENSNGAG00000006169.1)". It matches the Rfam family "7SK RNA", at positions 77 to 331 of the family's 331-position model. From Rfam's summary of the family: 7SK was discovered as an abundant small nuclear RNA in the mid-70s but a possible function has only recently been suggested. Two independent studies have found that 7SK RNA binds the CDK9/cyclin T complex (known as elongation factor P-TEFb). P-TEFb activates transcription by phosphorylating the C-terminal domain of RNA polymerase II. The record is from Rfam by way of RNAcentral. Lineage: Eukaryota; Metazoa; Chordata; Mammalia; Rodentia; Spalacidae.
AGAUGGCUGUCCACUUCUUCCCUAUGUACAUCCACCUCCAAUCUGUGGCUUGGUCCAAAAGGAUGAGCUUUCCUCAUAGAGGAGACCCCUCUUGGGUCAAGGGUGUGAGUAGCUGUGCUCCCACAUGAGAACCUCCAACAAGCUCACAAGGUCCACUUAGGAGAGCAUAAAGUAAUCAAGCUUUCCAGACACAUCCAAAUGAAGUCAUUCACAGGGAAGUCUUUCAUU